Molecule: ribosomal RNA, 468 nt
Filed under: uncultured bacterium
Lineage: Bacteria
Description: partial 16S ribosomal RNA
Rfam family: Bacterial small subunit ribosomal RNA
Source: RNAcentral
GACGAACGCUGGCGGCGUGCUUAACACAUGCAAGUCGAACGGAAAGGCCCUGCUUUUGUGGGGUGCUCGAGUGGCGAACGGGUGAGUAACACGUGAGUAACCUGCCCUUGACUUUGGGAUAACUUCAGGAAACUGGGGCUAAUACCGGAUAGGAGCUCCUGCUGCAUGGUGGGGGUUGGAAAGUUUCGGCGGUUGGGGAUGGACUCGCGGCUUAUCAGCUUGUUGGUGGGGUAGUGGCUUACCAAGGCUUUGACGGGUAGCCGGCCUGAGAGGGUGACCGGCCACAUUGGGACUGAGCUACGGCCCAGACUACUACGGGAGGCAGCAGUGGGGAAUAUUGCACAAUGGGCGGAAGCCUGAUGCAGCAACGCCGCGUGCGGGAUGACGGCCUUCGGGUUGUAACCCGCUUUCGCCUGUGACGAAGCGUGAGUGACGGUAAUGGGUAAAGAAGCACCGGCUAACUACGUG